GCCAGGCGUGGUGGUGCAUGCCUGUAAUCCCAGCUACUUGGGAGGCUGAGGCAGGAGAAUUGCUUGAACCCAGGAGGCAGAGGUUGCAGUGAGCCGAGAUUGCACCACUGCACUCCAGCCUGGGCAACAGAGUGAGACUCUGUCUCAA
This is a non-coding RNA of Homo sapiens (human), 148 nucleotides long. It matches the Rfam family "Metazoan signal recognition particle RNA". From Rfam's summary of the family: The signal recognition particle (SRP) is a universally conserved ribonucleoprotein. It is involved in the co-translational targeting of proteins to membranes. Lineage: Eukaryota; Metazoa; Chordata; Mammalia; Primates; Hominidae. The record is from Rfam.